RNAcentral lists this ribosomal RNA (492 nucleotides) under uncultured bacterium. Its description in RNAcentral is "partial 16S ribosomal RNA". It matches the Rfam family "Bacterial small subunit ribosomal RNA", at positions 29 to 507 of the family's 1533-position model. The record is from RNAcentral.
AGUGAACGCUGGCGGUAGGCCUAACACAUGCAAGUCGAACGGCAGCACAGUAAGAGCUUGCUCUUACGGGUGGCGAGUGGCGGACGGGUGAGGAAUAUAUCGGAAUCUACUUUUUCGUGGGGGAUAACGUAGGGAAACUUACGCUAAUACCGCAUACGACCUACGGGUGAAAGCAGGGGAUCUUCGGACCUUGCGCGAUUGAAUGAGCCGAUGUCGGAUUAGCUAGUUGGCGGGGUAAAGGCCCACCAAGGCGACGAUCCGUAGCUGGUCUGAGAGGAUGAUCAGCCACACUGGAACUGAGACACGGUACAGACUCCUACGGGAGGCAGCAGUGGGGAAUAUUGGACAAUGGGCGCAAGCCUGAUCCAGCCAUACCGCGUGGGUGAAGAAGGCCUUCGGGUUGUAAAGCCCUUUUGUUGGGAAAGAAAAGCAGCAGGUUAAUACCCCGCUGUUCUGACGGUACCCAAAGAAUAAGCACCGGCUAACUUCGUG